Molecule: long non-coding RNA, 1950 nt
Organism: Pleuronectes platessa (European plaice)
Lineage: Eukaryota; Metazoa; Chordata; Actinopteri; Pleuronectiformes; Pleuronectidae
Exons: 7
Source: RefSeq, a predicted model, not a curated record
GUGAAGCAUGAUAUCAAGUCGCUUGUUUGCUUGUGCCGAAUUUCGACCCCACAUUAAAUGCUCAAAGUUCCUCCCAUUCCACAGUGUGGUGUGUAAGCUGUUUGUCUGCUGAUAACAACCCCCUCAGCAACAGGGAGAUAAACCCCACAUGCUGCUGUAGAGACAACUAACAUGUUGUCUGUCAACAGGGCAAAACAGUAUCAGAACGGUGAUAUCACUGUGGUUGGCUUCACUAAAAGUAAAUUUUUCAGUAACAACAUUAAAAAAAAGUUUAGAUUUUUUGCCAUGUGAUAUCAAGGAUGCACAGCAGGUGGCGUGGUCUGUUGUCUGAGUUUAACUAAAUUAGGCCCAGUGCACUCAGGCUUCACUCCAUGUGCAAGCACAUGACAUCCUCCCAGCAGCAAGCUCUUUUCAUUGCGGCUACUUGCUUUUGCAAACAUGACACCAGAGGGCCAGGACAAAUGCAGCUCGCUUCAGAAUCCCGCACUCAUCAUUUUAGCCAAGUCGCUGUUGACCCGGCGCCAACACCACAAAACAGGACAAGUAAUUUAAUUUGCCACUGCUGUCGACCUUGAAGCAGGGAAUGUAGGCUACCAGAAUCCCAAUAGGGAGGCUUGAAGAAAACAUCCUGGGAGCCGAGAGAGGGGUCAUAAUUUUGUCCUUCAGGAUUUUUCUAUUCCUGUUUUGAUGAUAGUAAGAUACGUGACUGGAAUGUGAUCAAUACUGGUGGUCGGAAAGGGACCCUGAACAGACUAAUGGGAUUAUGUCAGUUUGAAUCCGCCUUUGCCGCUUUCACUGCACACACUUGCAGCAAAACUGCAGCCAUGUUAUAUGUCUGCUCCCUAUUGGAGUUCUAGCCCAAGCGGAAAAACAUAGGGAUGCGAAUGAGUCGACACUCACCAGAUCAAUGGAGAGAAGAAGCACUUCUCGACCGGCAGCAUCUGGUUACAGUGCAGCCGAGGAUAUUGAAGAUUACAUGACAUCGCGUCAGGGCCUAGAUUAUUUGAUCGUCUCCUUAGCAUAGCUAGGAAUGCAUUGGUGCCACUUGCCGACCGCAGCGUCCAGGGAGACCUAAAAAGGGAAGGAGUCUCGCUCUGAUUCCUGGCAGCUCAUGGAGCAGUGGAGGCUAAAUUAGUCCUGGUUUCAUUGACUUCCAAUCCUCCAAGUCCCAGCAGCCCUGCAGCAAGAGGAGGGGAGGCCGGCUGGUCCUCAGGGGCCCUGAUGCUUCCUCAGAAGUUCCAGACACUGCCUGCGUAAGUUAAAGUGUCAGAUGGUGAGAUGAUAUUUCAGGGAAGCUUGAGCUGGGAGAUGCAUCUCUUUUAUUCUGCGUAAAGGUAAAAGUGACAAGAAUAACAUUAAGGAUUCUGAUAGGUUUACCAUUUUAACAUCACAACAAAUUAAAAGGUAAACUUUAGUGAUAGUUUAAGUACUGUAACCAAACUAUGUUCUCUGGUUCUUGCUCAGGGAUUUUGAGAGGCCAAAGGGGUUUAUAUAUCCAUUAUUUCUUUAGAUAUUUUUAAACCUCUUGCAACGGCUCAGAUUUAUAUUAGGACUGCGUAGAGGGAAAAUAUGCUUCAUUAUACAAAAAGAGAUCACUUUAUGGUACAAGCCACAAUGAUGUCUACCAAAUGUAUAAUGUAAUGGAAAGAUCACCAAAUAGUCUGGAAAAAAACAUUUAGCCUCUUUUACUUUCGGUUGCAGCGAAAUAUUGAUUUAUGAAAUUGUCAAAUUAUCAACUACAUCUUUGCACUGAAAACCUCCUGUCUAGAUUUCUGUAUUAGUAUUGUGUGAUAGGACACUGGCAUGAUAAAGAGGCUGUAACUUGUCUAGAACUUAUUCAUUUAUGGGAAAUAUGCCAAAAUGCCAUAAUAAUUUAUUAACGAUAUAUUACAUUAGGAAAUUAUGUGAUGUGUUGCAGAUAAUGUGCAACCUGCUCUGUAUGUUUUUUUU